This 492-nucleotide ribosomal RNA is filed under the name uncultured bacterium. RNAcentral's name for it is "partial 16S ribosomal RNA". It matches the Rfam family "Bacterial small subunit ribosomal RNA", at positions 29 to 507 of the family's 1533-position model. The record is from RNAcentral.
AGUGAACGCUGGCGGUAGGCCUAACACAUGCAAGUCGAACGGCAGCACAGUAAGAGCUUGCUCUUACGGGUGGCGAGUGGCGGACGGGUGAGGAAUACAUCGGAAUCUACUUUUUCGUGGGGGAUAACGUAGGGAAACUUACGCUAAUACCGCAUACGACCUACGGGUGAAAGCAGGGGAUCUUCGGACCUUGCGCGAUUGAAUGAGCCGAUGUCGGAUUAGCUAGUUGGCGGGGUAAAGGCCCACCAAGGCGACGAUCCGUAGCUGGUCUGAGAGGAUGGUCAGCCACACUGGAAGUGAGACACGGUCCAGACUCCUACGGGAGGCAGCAGUGGGGAAUAUUGGACAAUGGGCGCAAGCUUGAUCCAGCCAUACCGCGUGGAUGAAGAAGGCCUUCGGGUUGUAAAGCCCUUUUGUUGGGAAAGAAAAGCAGCAGGUUAAUACCCCGCUGUUCUGACGGUACCCAAAGAAUAAGCACCGGCUAACUUCGUG